CUGCUGCCUCCCGUAGGAGUCUGGGCCGUGUCUCAGUCCCAAUGUGGCCGGUCACCCUCUCAGGUCGGCUACUGAUCGUCGGCUUGGUAGGCCGUUACCCCACCAACUACCUAAUCAGACGCGGGCCCAUCUUACACCACCGGAGUUUUACCACCAAACCAUGCGGUUUUGUGGUCUUAUGCGGUAUUAGCAGUCAUUUCUAACUGUUAUCCCCCUGUGUAAGGCAGGUUGCCCACGCGUUACUCACCCGUCCGCCGCUCAGUCACAAAG
RNAcentral lists this ribosomal RNA (270 nucleotides) under uncultured bacterium. Its description in RNAcentral is "partial 16S ribosomal RNA". The record is from RNAcentral.